RNAcentral lists this ribosomal RNA (408 nucleotides) under Methanosarcina sp. enrichment culture DGGE gel band Met3. RNAcentral's name for it is "bacterial SSU rRNA". It matches the Rfam family "Archaeal small subunit ribosomal RNA", at positions 648 to 1057 of the family's 1478-position model. Lineage: Archaea; Methanobacteriati; Methanobacteriota; Methanomicrobia; Methanosarcinales; Methanosarcinaceae. The record is from RNAcentral.
UUGGGGGGGUUGUUAAUUCGUAGCGUUCUUACCAGACGGGUUCGACGGUGAGGGACGAAAGCUGGGGGCACGAAUCGGAUUAGAUACCCGGGUAGUCCCAGCCGUAAACGAUGCUCGCUAGGUGUCAGGCAUGGCGCGACCGUGUCUGGUGCCGCAGGGAAGCCGUGAAGCGAGCCACCUGGGAAGUACGGCCGCAAGGCUGAAACUUAAAGGAAUUGGCGGGGGAGCACAACAACGGGUGGAGCCUGCGGUUUAAUUGGACUCAACGCCGGACAACUCACCGGGGACGACAGCAAAAUGUAGGCCAGGCUGAAGACCUUGCCUGAAUCGCUGAGAGGAGGUGCAUGGCCGUCGCCAGUUCGUACUGUGAAGCAUCCUGUUAAGUCAGGCAACGAGCGAGACCCAAAA